UCUUUGAGAGCCUGUGAUCCAUCUUGCCCCCAUGCUCUGGAGCAUGCCUGCUGUCUCAUAGAUGGGCAAAUAUAGGAGUCAAGCCAGGCCACUUGAUCCCACCUCCAUCAUGGGCUAUGUCUACUCUGACCAAAGACCUGCUCGAGGAAGUCUCCUACGGCAAUAGAAACUUUACUUUGCGACAUCAUCUCUCACCUUCCU
This 201-nucleotide long non-coding RNA is filed under the name Elaeis guineensis (African oil palm). RNAcentral describes it as "long non-coding RNA (EGUI_LNC008377)". Lineage: Eukaryota; Viridiplantae; Streptophyta; Magnoliopsida; Arecales; Arecaceae. The record is from RNAcentral.